GAUUCAUGACUGGGGUGAAGUCGUAACAAGGUAGCCGUAGGGGAACCUGCGGCUGGAUCACCUCCUUAAUUAUAGAGAUAAAGGUACGACGAGAGCUCAAAGCACCCACACAGUUUGUUUUCAAAAUUAUAAUGCAAAGCAACAGAACGCCGAAGCAAAAAAAUUGGGUCUGUAGCUCAGUUGGUUAGAGCGCACCCCUGAUAAGGGUGAGGCCGGUGGUUCAAGUCCACCCAGACCCACCAGUCAGUGGCUUUGCAAGGAUUGUCAAGACCAAAGUAAUUUUAGCCUUUAGGGGUUGAGAUUAUUUUUGUCUGGAAUAUCCGGAAGUUCAUUAACAAUUUGGUAAAGAAAUAGAGGUAACACAAGCGAAUUAGUAUUGUCCUUGUUGUAUAACCGAGGCCUGGAUUUUAUUUAAGGGGUUUUUUGAAGGGCCCUUUAAAGGGAAUCGUUUGCCAGCAUUUAUCCGUUAAUCGAUGCGAAUUGAGAGCGAGUAAGGGAAGAGGGUGUUGGCAAGAGGUGGUUGAGGUUAUAUGGUCAAGAAGAG
RNAcentral lists this unclassified non-coding RNA (544 nucleotides) under Legionella maceachernii. RNAcentral's name for it is "partial 16S-23S ribosomal RNA intergenic spacer". The stretch from base 166 to 239 matches the Rfam family "tRNA". Lineage: Bacteria; Pseudomonadati; Pseudomonadota; Gammaproteobacteria; Legionellales; Legionellaceae. The record is from RNAcentral.